UGAGGAAUAUUGGUCAAUGGACGAGAGUCUGAACCAGCCAAGUAGCGUGAAGGAUGACUGCCCUAUGGGUUGUAAACUUCUUUUAUAAGGGAAUAAAGUGAGGGACGUGUCCCUUUUUGUAUGUACCUUAUGAAUAAGGAUCGGCUAACUCCGUGCCAGCAGCCGCGGUAAUACGGAGGAUCCAAGCGUUAUCCGGAUUUAUUGGGUUUAAAGGGAGCGUAGGUUGACAUAUAAGUCAGCUGUGAAAGUUUACGGCUCAACCGUGAAAUUGCAGUUGAUACUGUAUGUCUUGAGUGUACAAGAGGUGGGCGGAAUUCGUGGUGUAGCGGUGAAAUGCUUAGAUAUCACGAAGAACUCCAAUUGCGAAGGCAGCUCACUGGGGUACAACUGACACUGAGGCUCGAAAGUGUGGGUAUCAAACAGG
This 424-nucleotide ribosomal RNA is filed under the name uncultured bacterium. RNAcentral's name for it is "bacterial SSU rRNA". It matches the Rfam family "Bacterial small subunit ribosomal RNA", at positions 355 to 776 of the family's 1533-position model. The record is from RNAcentral. RNAcentral also lists the same sequence under 2 other names.